GACGACCGCUGGCGGCGUGCUUAACACAUGCAAGUCGCGCGAUGAAGCUUCUUCGGAAGUGGAUUAGCGGCGGACGGGCGAGUAACACGUUGGCAACCUGCCUUUUAGCGGGGGAUAGCUUUCCCAAUGGAACAUGAAUACCGCAUAACAUCGCGAACUCCCAUGGGGUUGCUCCCAUAGAUUUGUCGCUAGGAGAUGGGCCCGCGUCGCAUUAGCUAGUUGGUAAGGUAACGGCUCACCAAGGCUACGGUGCGUAGCCGACCUGAGAGGGUGAUCGGCCACAUUGGAACUAAGACACGGCCCAGACUCCUACGGGAGGCAGCAGUGGGGAAUAUUGCACAAUGGGCGAAAGCCUGAUGCAGCAACGCCGCGUGAGUGAUGAAGGUCUUCGGAUUGUAAAGCUCUUUGAUCAGGGACGAUAAUGACGGUACCUAAAGAACAAGCCACGGCUAACUACGUGCCAGCCGCCGCAGUAA
This 476-nucleotide ribosomal RNA is filed under the name uncultured bacterium. RNAcentral describes it as "partial 16S ribosomal RNA". It matches the Rfam family "Bacterial small subunit ribosomal RNA", at positions 28 to 523 of the family's 1533-position model. The record is from RNAcentral.